This 394-nucleotide ribosomal RNA is filed under the name uncultured bacterium. Its description in RNAcentral is "bacterial SSU rRNA". It matches the Rfam family "Bacterial small subunit ribosomal RNA", at positions 505 to 898 of the family's 1533-position model. The record is from RNAcentral.
GUGUCAGCCGCCGCGGUAAUACGUAGGGUGCAGGCGUUAAUCGGAAUUACUGGGCGUAAAGCGUGCGCAGGCGGUUUCUUAAGUCAGAUGUGAAAGCCCCGGGCUUAACCUGGGAACUGCGUUUGAAACUGGGAGACUCGAGUAUGUCAGAGGGGGGUGGAAUUCCACGUGUAGCAGUGAAAUGCGUAGAGAUGUGGAGGAACACCGAUGGCGAAGGCAGCCCCCUGGGAUAAUACUGACGCUCAUGCACGAAAGCGUGGGGAGCAAACAGGAUUAGAUACCCUGGUAGUCCACGCCCUAAACGAUGUCAACUGGUUGUUGGGGAACUUGAUUCCUUAGUAACGAAGCUAACGCGUGAAGUUGACCGCCUGGGGAGUACGGCCGCAAGGUUAAA